This is a long non-coding RNA of Lingula anatina, 321 nucleotides long. The record is from RefSeq and is a predicted model, not a curated record. Lineage: Eukaryota; Metazoa; Brachiopoda; Lingulata; Lingulida; Lingulidae.
GCAAGGGGAGCAACGGAUACCAAUUUUUGAAGAGUUUGAGAAGCCGGGACUCGAUAACGAGAGAGCAGAACAAAUUUAUGAAAAAUGGGCUGAAAAUUAUGAUAAGGAUAUGGCAACUCUAAAUUACACUCAACCAAGUGUCUGCGCAGCCGAAAUAGAGAAAUGUUUAAAAGACAACAAAGACGCGCUUAUUUUGGAGGCCGCCUGUGGGACCGGUUUAGGGGGCAUAGAGCUGGCAAAGCGCGGUUUCCACAACCUCCAUGCCUUUGACAUGUCUAGUAAAAUGCUUGACGUUGCCAAGCAGAAGAAUAUCUAUAAAAA